UAGUAUUUCAGUAUAGGCUCAUACGUUGUAUAUGUCUUAUUUGCAGGUGUAUUCACCUGAUCUGGUACAUCACCUGCUAUAUAUGGAUUAAUCUUGCACAAGCCUCCUCUUAUUAUAUGACGUAACACUUUGGUUCUUGUACAAUUGAAAACCAUUGUUUGUCCUUACAAAUGCGGUGAAGCUGUAGAGGAGAAGAAGGACCACCAGUUUGCAGAUUAAACCACAUCAGACCCUAGGUAUCACCAUCCUCAUAGACUGGGUAUAAACUAGCAAGGAAUUUUCAACAACACCCCUAAGGAAGUUGCGAGGAUUAAAGAUUGCCAAGAAAUUCCAGUUGGUCAUAUUGUCUAUGGCCCAUCAAGUAUUCAGCAAUCGGAACUUGGAAUUAGUCUGCAGACAUAUAUCUAUGUGUCUCCUUUGAAAAUUUAAUAAAUGCAUAUCUCUUUAGGCUUU
Long non-coding RNA from Lolium rigidum, 453 nucleotides. RefSeq lists it as uncharacterized. The transcript is spliced from 2 exons. The record is from RefSeq and is a predicted model, not a curated record. NCBI's taxonomy places the organism in Eukaryota, Viridiplantae, Streptophyta, Magnoliopsida, Poales, Poaceae.